CACUCCUACGGGAGGCAGCAGUGGGGAAUUUUGGACAAUGGGCGAAAGCCUGAUCCAGCAAUGCCGCGUGAGUGAAGAAGGCCUUCGGGUUGUAAAGCUCUUUUGUCAGGGAAGAAACGGUGAAAGCUAAUAUCUUUUGCUAAUGACGGUACCUGAAGAAUAAGCACCGGCUAACUACGUGCCAGCAGCCGCGGUAAUACGUAGGGUGCAAGCGUUAAUCGGAAUUACUGGGCGUAAAGCGUGCGCAGGCGGUUUUGUAAGUCUGAUGUGAAAUCCCCGGGCUCAACCUGGGAAUUGCAUUGGAGACUGCAAGGCUAGAAUCUGGCAGAGGGGGGUAGAAUUCCACGUGUAGCAGUGAAAUGCGUAGAUAUGUGGAGGAACACCGAUGGCGAAGGCAGCCCCCUGGGUCAAGAUUGACGCUCAUGCACGAAAGCGUGGGGAGCAAACAGGAUUAGAUACCCGGGUAGUCC
This 470-nucleotide ribosomal RNA is filed under the name uncultured organism. RNAcentral describes it as "partial 16S ribosomal RNA". It matches the Rfam family "Bacterial small subunit ribosomal RNA", at positions 334 to 796 of the family's 1533-position model. The record is from RNAcentral.